This 246-nucleotide ribosomal RNA is filed under the name uncultured Actinomycetes bacterium. RNAcentral's name for it is "uncultured actinobacterium partial 16S ribosomal RNA". It matches the Rfam family "Bacterial small subunit ribosomal RNA", at positions 28 to 276 of the family's 1533-position model. Lineage: Bacteria; Bacillati; Actinomycetota; Actinomycetes. The record is from RNAcentral.
GACGAACGCUGGCGGCGUGCUUAACACAUGCAAGUCGAGCGGUAAGGCCCUUUCGGGGGUACACGAGCGGCGAACGGGUGAGUAACACGUGGGUGACCUGCCUUUAGCUCUGGGAUAAGCCUGGGAAACUGGGUCUAAUACCGGAUAUGACUCCGCGGUGCAUGCUGUGGGUGGAAAGCCUUGUGCGGCUGGAGAUGGGCCCGCGGCCUAUCAGCUUGUUGGUGGGGUGAUGGCCUACCAAGGCGA